This 530-nucleotide long non-coding RNA is filed under the name Mytilus galloprovincialis (Mediterranean mussel). Lineage: Eukaryota; Metazoa; Mollusca; Bivalvia; Mytilida; Mytilidae. The record is from RNAcentral.
UUUAAUUUUGGACCCUUUGGACCUUAAUGUAGACCAAUUUGAAAACGGGACCAAAAAUUAAGAAUCUACAUACACAGUCAUGACAGUUAGAUUCGGCAUAUCAAAGAACCCCAAUUAUUCAAUUUUGAUGAAAUCAAACAAAGUUUAAUUUUGGACCCUUUGGGCCCCUUAUUCUGUUGGGACCAAAACUCCCAAAAUCAAUACCAACCUUCCUUUUAUGGUCAUAAACCUUGUGUUUAAAUUUCAUAGAUUUCUAUUUACUUAUACUAACGUUAUGGUGCGAAAACCAAGAAAAAUGCUUAUUUGGGUCCCUUUUUGGCCCCUAAUUCCUAAACUGUUGGGACCUAAACUCCCAAAAUCAAUACCAACCUUCCUUUUGAAGUCAUUAACAUUGUGUUUAAAUUUCAUUGAUUUCUAUUUACUUAAACUAAAGUUAUUGUGCGAAAACCAAGAAUAAUGCUUAUUUGGGCCCUUUUUUGGCCCCUAAUUCCUAAACUGUUGAAACCAAAACUCCCAAAAUCAAUCCCAAC